RNAcentral lists this ribosomal RNA (575 nucleotides) under uncultured bacterium. RNAcentral's name for it is "bacterial SSU rRNA". It matches the Rfam family "Bacterial small subunit ribosomal RNA", at positions 792 to 1381 of the family's 1533-position model. The record is from RNAcentral.
AGUCCACGCCGUAAACGAUGCCAACUAGCAAUCGGGAGAGUCGACCCUCUCGGUUGCGAAGCUAACGCGUCAAGUUGGCCGCCUGGGGAGUACGGUCGCAAGACUAAAACUCAAAGGAAUUGGCGGGGGCUCGCACAAGUGGUGGAGCAUGUGGUUUAAUUCGACAACAAGCGAAAAACCUUAUCCAGGCCUUGACAUCUAGGGAAGGCUCUUGAAAGAGAGCUGUGCCUUCGGGAACCCUAAGACAGGUACUGCACGGUCGUCGUCAGUUCGUGUCGUGAGAUGUGAGGUUAAGUCCUUGAACGAACGCAACCCUUGUCCUAUGUUGGAUUUCAUAGGAGACUGCCCUGGCAACAGGGAGGAAGGUGGGGAUGACGUCAGAUCAGCGUGGUCUUUAUGGCCUGGGCUACACACGUGCUACAAUGCCGCAGACAAUGGGUUGCCAAGCCGCGAGGCGGAGCUAAUCCCAUCAAAAUGCGGCUCAGUUCGGAUCGGAGUCUGCAAUUCGACUCCGUGAAGCCGGAAUCACUAGUAAUCGUGAAUCAGAACGUCACGGUGAAUACGUUCUCGAGCCU